GGGGUUGUAGCUCAGUGGUAGAGUGCUUGCCUAGCAAGUGUGAGGCACUGAGUUUGAUCCUCAGCACCA
Molecule: transfer RNA, 69 nt
Filed under: Ictidomys tridecemlineatus (thirteen-lined ground squirrel)
Lineage: Eukaryota; Metazoa; Chordata; Mammalia; Rodentia; Sciuridae
Description: Spermophilus tridecemlineatus (thirteen-lined ground squirrel) tRNA
Rfam family: tRNA
About the family: Transfer RNA (tRNA) molecules are approximately 80 nucleotides in length. Their secondary structure includes four short double-helical elements and three loops (D, anti-codon, and T loops).
Source: Rfam by way of RNAcentral